AGAGAAGCCUUCAAUUUCCUGGUUGCCUUAUAUACAUUGGAAGCAAUGUCUUCCAAGUUGUUGUCUGUGAACUUGAUUGCUUAAGAAUCCAGCCCAAUAGGCUCUGUUUGAAUAGCAUUAACCAGAAUACACGUUAAGAUGCUACAAGUAAUCUGGAUAAACAGUGAUAAGACAAAAGAAAAUAAGCAUUAUGCAUGCUAAGCACAAAUAAAUGAAACUUAUUUGAUAGGCCAACCUCUGUCUACAGUGGGAAUGACAAAGUAAAUUGGGGGAGUGAGAUUGGAGCGGAGCGGUAAACAUCUGUCACAGGGAGCAUUUUACAGAAGGCUGGAAUCGAGAACAAGAGACUCCAUGAAUAAUACAUAGGCCCAAAGAUGCCAAGAUAGGAGGCUUUAUAUUCUGAAUGCCGGUAGGAUCCAGAAAACUUAAAUCGAAGACAUUCUAGAGGCAUUUCGUCCACAAUGGAGAGAACUGCAAAUUUUCUUCUUGUGGAAGCCAGCACAGACCUGAAGUCCAAGAAGCUGCCUCCAUUUUAACAGUGUUGCUAACAACACUCCUAUACACGUCUACU
Molecule: long non-coding RNA, 571 nt
Organism: Lacerta agilis (Sand lizard)
Lineage: Eukaryota; Metazoa; Chordata; Lepidosauria; Squamata; Lacertidae
Exons: 3
Source: RefSeq, a predicted model, not a curated record